Long non-coding RNA from Eucalyptus grandis, 898 nucleotides. RefSeq lists it as uncharacterized. The transcript is spliced from 7 exons. Lineage: Eukaryota; Viridiplantae; Streptophyta; Magnoliopsida; Myrtales; Myrtaceae. The record is from RefSeq and is a predicted model, not a curated record.
AGCGAAACCCGCGACCACCAACCCAUUCGAAUCGCGGAUGAUUCCGGCGAUUGAGCAGAGAAACUCGCCUGGGAGCCACGAAGCGUCGAUGUUGAGUUUCAGAUCUUCCCCAUCCGGCGGCUUCCACCAUCCAGAUCCACGAGAUCUGCUAGUUGCAGGGGUUUGGCUCUGAAAAUGAAGUGAUUCCGGGACUUCCAGAUGUUCCAGAGGACAGUCGCGAUGAGUUCUUGCUCCGGUGAUGUAAAACUUCUUGGACGAUGAGGAUAUUAUCCUGGAUUUGGCGUCCUUGGACAAAGGCACCCUGUUCAGGCUCGAUGAUUUCCGGGAGGGUGUUUCGUCUUCGGUAUCAAGGAUUGAUGGUAGAACAGACCAUUAAAACCGUCGGGACCCGGGGCUUUGAGGGAUCCCAAUUGAAACACUGCUGUCUUAACUUCUUCCAUGGGUGUAUCACAAGGAGAAGAGGACUAUGAUCUGAGCCGAUUCUGGGAGAGCUUGUACUUCAGCAUCAUGGAAGGUCAAUAAAUUCUGGGGAAGUUUCGUUGAGUUGAAGCCCCACUUCUUCUUGCCACAUAACAGCUAAGCCUCCCGCAAUUCCUUCUGGAUUAACUGUGAAUAGGUUUGAGAAUUUGAGUUUCCUUUUGAUGCCUUCCACCAUCGAUGCUUUAUUUUUCGUUUCCAUUAAAAAGAUAAGGUUGGGCCUUUCAAGAGCAACUAGUGCUCUCAAUGCUUGGAAUGUCAGGGGGUUGCCCAGCCCCUGACAAUUCCAACUGAUAAUUUUCAUUUCGUCAGUGGUGGCUUAUUAGGGCCAGCCACCAAGGCCCACUCUUUGCCAUCCUUAACGAUCUGAAUUGGGGUUUCCAAGAGGUCCGUAUCAUCAAUCAGUAGGGGAACGGGUUCU